AUGUGGUGGGAAAGACGAAAAUUGAUGCACAAGGAGACAACUCAGAAUGCGCAUCAGAUUUCUAUGGGGAUUCUAGCCCUUAUGACAGCCUUCGGUAAUGCAUCAUCCCCCCAAGGCCUCUAUGAAAAGGGGGAUUGGUCUUGUCCUCCUAGGGGAUUUGUGGAACUUAAUGUCGACGCUUCUUUUGACCACGAUCUGCUUAAGGGCACAAUGGGGGUAGUCAUUAGAGACGACAAAGGCAGAUUUAUCGCUGGAGGGAAUGGGAAGAUUGACUAUUGCACGGAUGUCUUGAUGGCCAAAGCCUUGGCUCUCAAAUUCGAUCUAACAUUGGGGCAAAGGACGGGAUGUAACCGCCUCAUUAUUAACCCAGACAAACUGGAGGUGGUUGAUACCAUGAAGGAUGGAGGACGAGAAGCAAAUAAAGUUGCUCAUGAGCUCGCUAGAUUAGCUAGAUUUUGUUUGACUUCUAACUGA
RNAcentral lists this ribosomal RNA (474 nucleotides) under Triticum aestivum (bread wheat). RNAcentral's name for it is "partial small subunit ribosomal RNA". Lineage: Eukaryota; Viridiplantae; Streptophyta; Magnoliopsida; Poales; Poaceae. The record is from RNAcentral.